AGCCAAGCCCCAACAAAAACGGAGGAGAAAACUUUCAGACGCUUUGAAAGCUUUUGGGGUCCUCGUUUCUGGGAGAGUACACAGCACCUCCUGUAUCACAACCAUUCUGCCGGCACACCUUCAGCAGCACAAUGUUUCUAACGGGAGCUGGAGGGUGAUCAGCUUCAUUGAAGAACAGGAGGAGGAGAGGCACAACGUUUGUCAUUUGUGAUAUGUUUUUAGACUUUUCUCCUAACUAAAAAAACUAUGUUUUGUUAAUUUCUUGAUAUAGUUCUUGUAUUUAAAUAUUUUAACAAUCAAAUAUUUUUCAACUGUGUUUUAGAUAUGAAUUGUAUGAAAUAAAUCAGUGAAGCCCCA
Molecule: long non-coding RNA, 357 nt
Organism: Hippocampus zosterae (dwarf seahorse)
Lineage: Eukaryota; Metazoa; Chordata; Actinopteri; Syngnathiformes; Syngnathidae
Exons: 2
Source: RefSeq, a predicted model, not a curated record